AACGAACGCUGGCGGCGUGCUUAAGACAUGCAAGUCGAACGGAAAGGCCCCCUUCGGGGGGUACUCGAGUGGCGCACGGGUGAGUAACGCGUGGGUAAUCUGCCCUAGGGUCUGGGACAACUUCGGGAAACUGGAGCUAAUACCGGAUGAGACCACGAGGUCUUCGGACUUUGCGGAAAAAGGUGGCCUCUCAUAGAAGCUACCGCCUUUGGAUGAGCCUGCGUGCCAUUAGCUUGUUGGUGGGGUAACGGCCUACCAAGGCUACGAUGGCUAGCUGGUCUGAGAGGAUGAUCAGCCACACUGGAACUGAGACACGGUCCAG
This 322-nucleotide ribosomal RNA is filed under the name uncultured bacterium. RNAcentral's name for it is "bacterial SSU rRNA". It matches the Rfam family "Bacterial small subunit ribosomal RNA", at positions 29 to 334 of the family's 1533-position model. The record is from RNAcentral.